AUUGAACGCUGGCGGAAUGCUUUACACAUGCAAGUCGAACGGCAGCAUAGGUGCUUGCACCUGAUGACGAGUGGCGAACGGGUGAGUAAUACAUCGGAACGUGCCCAGUCGUGGGGGAUAACGUAGCGAAAGUUACGCUAAUACCGCAUACGAUCUAAGGAUGAAAGCGGGGGACCGUAAGGCCUCGCGCGAUUGGAGCGGCGGAUGUCAGAUUAGGUAGUUGGUGAGGUAAAGGCUCACCAAGCCGACGAUCUGUAGCUGGUCUGAGAGGACGACCAGCCACACUGGGACUGAGAAACGGCCCAGACUCCUACGGGAGGCAGCAGUGGGGAAUUUUGGACAAUGGACGCAAGUCUGAUCCAGCCAUUCCGCGUGCAGGACGAAGGCCUUCGGGUUGUAAACUGCUUUUGUACGGAACGAAAAAGCUCUUACUAAUACUGGGAGUCCAUGACGGUACCGUAAGAAUAAGCACCGGCUAACUACGUGCCAGCCGCCGCCGUAA
RNAcentral lists this ribosomal RNA (502 nucleotides) under uncultured bacterium. RNAcentral describes it as "partial 16S ribosomal RNA". It matches the Rfam family "Bacterial small subunit ribosomal RNA", at positions 30 to 523 of the family's 1533-position model. The record is from RNAcentral.